This 67-nucleotide transfer RNA is filed under the name Marmota monax (woodchuck). RNAcentral describes it as "tRNA.Ala". Lineage: Eukaryota; Metazoa; Chordata; Mammalia; Rodentia; Sciuridae. The record is from RNAcentral.
GGUUGUAGUUCAGUGGUAGAGCACUCAUCUAGCAUCUGUGAGGUCUUGGGUUCAAUCCUCAGCACCA